This 467-nucleotide ribosomal RNA is filed under the name uncultured bacterium. RNAcentral describes it as "partial 16S ribosomal RNA". It matches the Rfam family "Bacterial small subunit ribosomal RNA", at positions 28 to 506 of the family's 1533-position model. The record is from RNAcentral.
GACGAACGCUGGCGGCGUGCCUAACACAUGCAAGUCGAACGGAAAGGCCCUGCUUUUGUGGGGUUCUCGAGUGGCGAACGGGUGAGUAACACGUGAGUAACCUGCCCUUGACUUUGGGAUAACUUCAGGAAACUGGGGCUAAUACCGGAUAGGAGCUCCUGCUGCAUGGUGGGGGUUGGAAAGUUUCGGCGGUUGGGGAUGGACUCGCGGCUUACGAGCUUGUUGGUGGGGUGGGGGCUUACCAAGGCUUUGAAGGGUAGCCGGCCUGGGAGGGUGACCGGGCCCAGAGUGCCUGGGGUGGGAGCCGGAGGGAUACGUGAGGCAGGGGUGGAAGACUGUGCACGCUGGGCGGAGGGAGGGAGCAGGGCCGCCGGGUGCGAAAUGACGGCUUUCGGGUAGGAAACCGCUUUCGCCUAUAACGAAGCGUGAUGACGGGUAAUAGAUAAAGAGACACCGCCUACCUCCGG